UACAGAGGGGGCAAGCGUUGUUCGGAAUUACUGGGCGUAAAGGGCGCGUAGGCGGCCUGCUAAGUCGAACGUGAAAUCCCUGGGCUCAACCCUGGAACUGCGUCCGAUACUGGUUGGCUUGAAUCCGGGAGAGGGAUGUGGAAUUCCAGGUGUAGCGGUGAAAUGCGUAGAUAUCUGGAGGAACACCGGUGGCGAAGGCGGCAUCCUGGACCGAGAUUGACGCUGAGGCGCGAAAGCCAGGGGAGCAAACGGG
Molecule: ribosomal RNA, 253 nt
Filed under: uncultured bacterium
Lineage: Bacteria
Description: partial 16S ribosomal RNA
Rfam family: Bacterial small subunit ribosomal RNA
Source: RNAcentral